GAUGAACGCUGGCGGCGUGCCUAAUACAUGCAAGUCGAGCGAACAGACGAGGAGCUUGCUCCUCUGACGUUAGCGGCGGACGGGUGAGUAACACGUGGAUAACCUACCUAUAAGACUGGGAUAACGUCGGGAAACCGGAGCUAAUACCGGAUAAUAUAUUGAACCGCAUGGUUCAAUAGUGAAAGACGGUUUUGCUGUCACUUAUAGAUGGAUCCGCGCCGCAUUAGCUAGUUGGUAAGGUAACGGCUUACCAAGGCAACGAUGCGUAGCCGACCUGAGAGGGUGAUCGGCCACACUGGAACUGAGACACGGUCCAGACUCCUACGGGAGGCAGCAGUAGGGAAUCUUCCGCAAUGGGCGAAAGCCUGACGGAGCAACGCCGCGUGAGUGAUGAAGGUCUUCGGAUCGUAAAACUCUGUUAUUAGGGAAGAACAAAUGUGUAAGUAACUAUGCACGUCUUGACGGUACCUAAUCAGAAAGCCACGGCUAACUACGUG
RNAcentral lists this ribosomal RNA (497 nucleotides) under uncultured bacterium. Its description in RNAcentral is "partial 16S ribosomal RNA". It matches the Rfam family "Bacterial small subunit ribosomal RNA", at positions 28 to 507 of the family's 1533-position model. The record is from RNAcentral.